RNAcentral lists this ribosomal RNA (513 nucleotides) under uncultured bacterium. RNAcentral's name for it is "bacterial SSU rRNA". It matches the Rfam family "Bacterial small subunit ribosomal RNA", at positions 501 to 1016 of the family's 1533-position model. The record is from RNAcentral.
CUACGUGCCAGCAGCCGCGGUAAUACGGAAGGUCCAGGCGUUAUCCGGAUUUAUUGGGUUUAAAGGGAGCGUAGGCUGGAGAUUAAGUGUGUUGUGAAAUGUAGACGCUCAACGUCUGAAUUGCAGCGCAUACUGGUUUCCUUGAGUACGCACAACGUUGGCGGAAUUCGUCGUGUAGCGGUGAAAUGCUUAGAUAUGACGAAGAACUCCGAUUGCGAAGGCAGCUGACGGGAGCGCAACUGACGCUGAAGCUCGAAGGUGCGGGUAUCGAACAGGAUUAGAUACCCUGGUAGUCCGCACAGUAAACGAUGGAUGCCCGCUGUUGGUACCUGGUAUCAGCGGCUAAGCGAAAGCAUUAAGCAUCCCACCUGGGAAGUACGCCGGCAACGGUGAAACUCAAAGGAAUUGACGGGGGCCCGCACAAGCGGUGGAGCAUGUGGUUUAAUUCGAAGCAACGCGAAGAACCUUACCAGGUCUUGACAUCCCUCUGACCGCUCUAGAGAUAGAGCUUUC